GACGAACGCUGGCGGCGUGCUUAACACAUGCAAGUCGAACGGAAAGGCCCUGCUUUUGUGGGGUGCUCGAGUGGCGAACGGGUGAGUAACACGUGAGUAACCUGCCCUUGACUUUGGGAUAACUUCAGGAAACUGGGGCUAAUACCGGAUAGGAGCUCCUGCUGCAUGGUGGGGGUUGGAAAGUUUCGGCGGUUGGGGAUGGACUCGCGGCUUAUCAGCUUGUUGGUGGGGUAGUGGCUUACCAAGGCUUUGACGGGUAGCCGGCCUGAGAGGGUGACCGGCCACAUUGGGACUGAGAUACGGCCCAGACUCCUACGGGAGGCAGCAGUGGGGAAUAUUGCACAAUGGGCGGAAGCCUGAUGCAGCAACGCCGCGUGCGGGAUGACGGCCUUCGGGUUGUAAACCGCUUUCGCCUGUGACGAAGCGUGAGUGACGGUAAUGGGUAAAGAAGCACCGGCUAACUACGUGCCGGCAGCCGCGGUGAUACGUAGGGUGCGAGCGUUGUCCGGAUUUAUUGGGCGUAAAGGGCUCGUAGGUGGUUGAUCGCGUCGGAAGUGUAAUCUUGGGGCUUAACCCUGAGCGUGCUUUCGAUACGGGUUGACUUGAGGAAGGUAGGGGAGAAUGGAAUUCCUGGUGGAGCGGUGGAAUGCGCAGAUAUCAGGAGGAACACCAGUGGCGAAGGCGGUUCUCUGGGCCUUUCCUGACGCUGAGGAGCGAAAGCGUGGGGAGCGAACAGGCUUAGAUACCCUGGUAGUCCACGCUGUAAACGGUGGGUACUAGGUGUGGGGUCCAUUCCACGGGUUCCGUGCCGUAGCUAACGCUUUAAGUACUCCGCCUGGGGAGUACGGCCGCAAGGCUAAAACUCAAAGGAAUUGACGGGGCCCCGCACAAGCGGCGGAGCAUGCGGAUUAAUUCGAUGCAACGCGUAGAACCUUACCUGGGUUUGACAUGGAUCGGGAGUGCUCAGAGAUGGGUGUGCCUCUUUUGGGGUCGGUUCACAGGUGGUGCAUGGCUGUCGUCAGCUCGUGUCGUGAGAUGUUGGGUUAAGUCCCGCAACGAGCGCAACCCUUGUUCACUGUUGCCAGCACGUUAUGGUGGGGACUCAGUGGAGACCGCCGGGGUCAACUCGGAGGAAGGUGGGGAUGACGUCAAGUCAUCAUGCCCCUUAUGUCCAGGGCUUCACGCAUGCUACAAUGGCUGGUACAGAGAGUGGCGAGCCUGUGAGGGUGAGCGAAUCUCGGAAAGCCGGUCUCAGUUCGGAUUGGGGUCUGCAACUCGACCUCAUGAAGUCGGAGUCGCUAGUAAUCGCAGAUCAGCAACGCUGCGGUGAAUACGUUCCCGGGGCU
Molecule: ribosomal RNA, 1346 nt
Filed under: uncultured bacterium
Lineage: Bacteria
Description: partial 16S ribosomal RNA
Rfam family: Bacterial small subunit ribosomal RNA
Source: RNAcentral